GGCUGUAUGGUGUUGUGGUUCAAAACAUUGGACUAUGACUUUGGAGUCCAGGGUUUGAAUCCAUGUUCAGCCA
RNAcentral lists this transfer RNA (73 nucleotides) under Anolis carolinensis (green anole). It matches the Rfam family "tRNA". Rfam says of the family: Transfer RNA (tRNA) molecules are approximately 80 nucleotides in length. Their secondary structure includes four short double-helical elements and three loops (D, anti-codon, and T loops). Lineage: Eukaryota; Metazoa; Chordata; Lepidosauria; Squamata; Anolidae. The record is from Rfam by way of RNAcentral.